Astyanax mexicanus (Mexican tetra) is the source of this 931-nucleotide long non-coding RNA. RefSeq lists it as uncharacterized. Lineage: Eukaryota; Metazoa; Chordata; Actinopteri; Characiformes; Acestrorhamphidae. The record is from RefSeq and is a predicted model, not a curated record. The transcript has 2 exons.
CCCAGAUAUAAAUACUGUGGAACCUACUAUGGGUAGAUGUCAGGAUUAAUUGUAAAAUAUAAGAAAUUGCUAAAUUUAAAUAUACCUUACUACACAGUCACUGUAAAUGAAAUAAUAAAAAAUAAUUGAGUUUCAGCUAAAUCCUAAUUAUAUAUAACUGUAAAUUAGUAUUGGACCUUGUAAUCAAUUAACAAUGAAUUAUUCUUAGUAAUAAAAAUAUAUAUAUUUUUAUUAAUUUCACUUCCUCUGUACUAAAGAGUGUUAGCCAAUCAAAUUCAGGCCCCUCCUACUACACUCACCACAUAAGCUUCAGUACAAACUCCUCCUUCCUCUUUUCUCCGUGUGGUUCAUCCAGCACAGACAUGCAGCUGAAUUUUCUGUUUUAUUAAACUAGAAAAAAUAAAGUAAAGUUACUAAAUUAAAUUAUAUUCAAGUGAUAAACUGCAUUUAAAGAGCCCUGGACCCCCCCCCUUCUACACUUCAUGUGUUACUGAGCUUUGGUCGGGUUUUAUUGGAUCCCUUGGAGCCUUGAGACAGCUUGAGACAACGUCGGAGUGGGAAGUCUUCCCUUUUCCCUUCAUGAACUCGGACGGUACUGAUCCCUCCCGUCAGGGUAUUGGAUGCCUGGAACCUUGUGUGAUCUAACAGCUCUGAUAACAGGACACCCCAUUCAUUAGUGUCCCGUUUGAACUCUUGAUUUCUCCGGUAAGGAGUGGCGAGCCAGAUUCUGAAACACAAAAAGGGAGCAAUUGCAUGCAGAAGAGAACACAGUGGAACUGAACUGAAUCACACACACACUUACGCACUUUUUUUAUUUUUUUAUUUUAUCUGUUGAUUCCUUUAUUUCUGCUAAGAGUCUAUGUUGCUGUACUGAUAAUCUCCUGGUCAAUAUAACCAUAAGCUAUUGAAUUAAAUCCAGCCAUUUGUGUAA